GAUGAACGCUGGCGGCGUGCCUAAUACAUGCAAGUCGAGCGAACAGACGAGGAUCUUGCUCCUCUGACGUUAGCGGCGGACGGGUGAGUAACACGUGGAUAACCUACCUAUAAGACUGGGAUAACUUCGGGAAACCGGAGCUAAUACCGGAUAAUAUAUUGAACCGCAUGGUUCAAUAGUGAAAGACGGUUUUGCUGUCACUUAUAGAUGUAUCCGCGCCGCAUUAGCUAGUUGGUAAGGUAACGGCUUACCAAGGCGACGAUGCGUAGCCGACCUGAGAGGGUGAUCGGCCACACUGGAACUGAGACACGGUCCAGACUCCUACGGGAGGCAGCAGUAGGGAAUCUUCCGCAAUGGGCGAAAGCCUGACGGAGCAACGCCGCGUGAGUGAUGAAGGUCUUCGGAUCGUAAAACUCUGUUAGUAGGGAAGAACAAAUGUGUAAGUAACUAUGCACGUCUUGACGGUACCUAAUCAGAAAGCCACGGCUAACUACGUG
This 497-nucleotide ribosomal RNA is filed under the name uncultured bacterium. Its description in RNAcentral is "partial 16S ribosomal RNA". It matches the Rfam family "Bacterial small subunit ribosomal RNA", at positions 28 to 507 of the family's 1533-position model. The record is from RNAcentral.